CGAGGUGGUGCUAAUCCUAGAAAAUCUUCGUAGUCCGGAUUGGGGUCUGCAACUCGACUCCAUGAAGUCGGAAUCGCUAGUAAUCGCGAAUCAGCAUGUCGCGGUGAAUACGUUCUCGGGUCUUGUACACACCGCCCGUCACACCAUGGAAGUGGAUUGCACCAGAAGUAGAUAGUUUAACCUUCGGGAGGGCGUUUACCACGGUGUGCUUCAUGACUGGGGUGAAGUCGUAACAAGGUAGCCGUAGGGGAACCUGUGGCUGGAUCACCUCCUU
Molecule: ribosomal RNA, 274 nt
Filed under: uncultured SAR86 cluster bacterium
Lineage: Bacteria; Pseudomonadati; Pseudomonadota; Gammaproteobacteria
Description: partial 16S ribosomal RNA
Rfam family: Bacterial small subunit ribosomal RNA
Source: RNAcentral